CAGAGGCUAUUGCUAYCMSSGWUUGACUAAGCCAUGCGAGUCGAGAGGUGAAAGACCUCGGCAUACUGCUCAGUAACACGUGGAUAAUCUGCCCUCAGGUGAGGAAUAAUCCCGGGAAACUGGGGCUAAUGCCUCAUAGGAGACGGGUGCUGGAAUGCUCUGUCUCCGAAAGGUCCGCCGCCUGAGGAUGAGUCUGCGUCCGAUUAGGUUGUUGUUGGGGUAACGGCCCAACAAGCCUUUGAUCGGUACGGGUUGUGGGAGCAAGAGCCCGGAGAUGGAUUCUGAGACAUGAAUCCAGGCCCUACGGGGCGCAGCAGGCGCGAAAACUUUACAAUGCGAGCAAUCGUGAUAAGGAAACCCUGAGUGCCUGUCAAUGCAGGCUGUUCUGGUGUCUAACACACACCAGGAGAAAGGGCGGGGCAAGACCGGUGCCAGCCGCCGCGGUAAUACCGGCUGCUCGAGUGAUAGCCACUUUUACUGGGCUUAAAGCGUUCGUAGCUUGGUCGUUAAGUCUCUGGGGAAAUCUUUUGGCUCAACCAAAAGGCGUCUCAGGGAAACUGACGAUCUUGGAACCGGGAGAGGUAAGACGUACUUCGGGGGUAGGAGUGAAAUCUUGUAAUCCCCGAGGGACGACCGAUGGCGAAGGCAUCUUACCAGAACGGCUUCGACAGUGAGGGACGAAAGCUGGGGGAGCAAACCGGAUUAGAUACCCGGGUAGUCCCAGCCGUAAACGAUGUGCGUUAGGUGUGUCAGUGACCACGAGUCGCUGAGGUGCCGAAGGGAAACCGUGAAACGCACCGCCUGGGAAGUACGGUCGCAAGGCUGAAACUUAAAGGAAUUGGCGUGRGSASCACCACMACGGGUGGAGCCUGCGGUUUAUUG
This 882-nucleotide ribosomal RNA is filed under the name uncultured Methanocalculus sp. RNAcentral describes it as "bacterial SSU rRNA". It matches the Rfam family "Archaeal small subunit ribosomal RNA", at positions 18 to 907 of the family's 1478-position model. Lineage: Archaea; Methanobacteriati; Methanobacteriota; Methanomicrobia; Methanomicrobiales; Methanocalculaceae. The record is from RNAcentral.